GAUGAACGCUGGCGGCGUGCCUAACACAUGCAAGUCGAGCGAGGGUUUGCUCAGUAUUGAGUAUUCUAAAACUAGAAUGUUCAAUUCUGAGCAAAACCAAGCGGCGGACGGGUGAGUAACGCGUGGGUAACCUGCCCUAUACACAUGGAUAACAUACUGAAAAGUUUACUAAUACAUGAUAAUAUAUAUUUGCGGCAUCGCAGAUAUAUCAAAGUGUUAGCGGUAUAGGAUGGACCCGCGUCUGAUUAGCUAGUUGGUGAGAUAACUGCCCACCAAGGCGACGAUCAGUAGCCGACCUGAGAGGGUGAUCGGCCACAUUGGAACUGAGACACGGUCCAAACUCCUACGGGAGGCAGCAGUGGGGAAUAUUGCACAAUGGGCGAAAGCCUGAUGCAGCAACGCCGCGUGAACGAUGAAGGUCUUCGGAUCGUAAAGUUCUGUUGCAGGGGAAGAUAAUGACGGUACCCUGUGAGGAAGCCCCGG
This 483-nucleotide ribosomal RNA is filed under the name Peptostreptococcus stomatis. Its description in RNAcentral is "bacterial SSU rRNA". It matches the Rfam family "Bacterial small subunit ribosomal RNA", at positions 28 to 496 of the family's 1533-position model. The record is from RNAcentral. Lineage: Bacteria; Bacillati; Bacillota; Clostridia; Peptostreptococcales; Peptostreptococcaceae.